CCAGCCCCCAGGACCAUCGGAGGACAAACUUUUCAUUAUUUGAUCCCAUUCAGUCUGUGAGACUCUAUGACGACUGCCAUCAGGAAGGAGCACACUUGCUUUUAGCCAACGCUCGGCCUCGACAACCAAUCUCCACACUUUGUAAUGGCUUUACGAUGAGUAUCAUGUCUUUCCCUUCCCUCUUUCCACUGAUGGGUGGGCGACCCGAGGAUUAAAUUUUCCAAGUGGAAGAGUUCUAACGUGAUACAACGGUUCUCCAGAAUCUCUGAAUCAUCUUCCCUUCCCUGAAGCAUUACAAAUAUUUGAAGGAGAAUCAUCGUAAUCAUAAUCAUAAUAAUAAAAAAAAAAAGGCUGAGAAGGGCAUUGGCUAACUGCAAAUACCCCUUACUUCAAUUUUCUUAUAAUGUCUAUACUUUGGCUUACAAUACAGAGUGAACUGAUCCUACAGUGAACCCAACUUUGUCAAACUUGUGUUUCUACAAGUCUCCCGCUUUACUUAUGGAAUAUAAAGUAGUGAUAAAGACAAUAACAGAUUUAUUGAAGACUGCCAUGGAUUUUUCCAUGAUCGCAUGGAACAGUAGAGUAUCGUCUGUAUUCAUUUUGAAUAUAUAUAUAUGGAAAUCGUCGACACCACGUUAUUUCAAACAUAUGUGUCCCCGUUUCCUCCAAUGCAUCUUGGUGUAUAGAACCAAGGCUGGUGGAGAGGUGGCUUUUCUUCUCCUCCUCUGGGGUUUGUCACCAUGUGUCCUUGAGAGGCAACGAGGAAGAAAUGGAUUAAUUAAUACCGUAGGGAAGUUCUCUUUCCUAUUCAGUAAACCGCAUAGUAUCCUGGAGAAAUGCAUCUUUACAGGCAAGAGAGUUUCCAAUUAAAAUGAAACUUUUGUGACACAGAAAAGUGAAAUAGAAAUGACAAAGCAUACGCAAGUUUUAUUUACAAUAUGUAUGGCUUAACACCAUUUACGCUGAGUCUCUACGAAUUGACUACCAUUUGGGGUAAAAUUAACAGCAUUGGAUUUGCAACAGAAAAAGAAAGAUGUGGUUUGUUACAUUUUUUUGUAGGAGUGCAAUACAUGACAGAAAUAUGAAUACAGACACUAAUGAGCAAGUGAUAGAUAUAUUUCAUUAUUACCAUACGUGUCUAUUUUAUAAAAUAUGAUGUGCUCUCGGUUCACAAAUGGCAAAUACACAUAAAACAAUCCUAAAGACUAAAUAAUGCAACUGGCUCAAAUUGAUCUAUGUGACUGUCCUAGAAUUCCAUUAAAGAAAGAUUAAGGGAUUUUUCCAUGAAAGGUAUAAAAUAAGAAAUGAAAGUCUGAACGAUUUCAGGAAAAAAAAAUCAAGCCUUCGUACAAAGACAUGAUUCUGAAUGAAAUAUGAAUGAAAUGCAUCAGUUUGGAUCUUCUCAAUAAAUAGCUUGGGAAGGCAAGAUAAACUCAACCUUUUACUGAGAAACGAUAAGGUUAUGGAAGGGAAAACCUCCUGUCUAGUAUUCAUAGACUCAAUCUGACUCAUUUUCCAUGGUUUCACUGAAAUAAUUAAAAAGAAAAUCAGAAGAAGGAGGUAUCUAGAGACUUCCUUUCAUCACAUCCAUGCAUUUAAAGUGAAGAUUUCCAAUUUAAAAGAAAAACAACAACAACGACAACAGAGGGAAGACCCAAAGAUCCACGUGAAUACAGUUCUUUGGAUGUAUACAUUUCAGAUGACGGGAAGUUGUCUCCAAUGGAGCUCAUUAUGGGAGGAAUAGAUGAGAAAAAUAAAGUGAGCUCUUUCCCCUUCACAUUUUUA
Molecule: long non-coding RNA, 1785 nt
Organism: Canis lupus familiaris (dog)
Lineage: Eukaryota; Metazoa; Chordata; Mammalia; Carnivora; Canidae
Exons: 2
Source: RefSeq, a predicted model, not a curated record